UUGGAAGUAGCUCAAUGGUAGAGCAUCUGCCUAGCAAGACAGAGGCCCCAGGUUUGGAUUCCCAGAUCUUCUUCCAAA
Molecule: transfer RNA, 78 nt
Filed under: Marmota monax (woodchuck)
Lineage: Eukaryota; Metazoa; Chordata; Mammalia; Rodentia; Sciuridae
Description: tRNA.Ala
Source: RNAcentral